GACUCGAUGGCGCACUGGUAACGCAUCCACUUGAAAUUUCCGAAGGCCAGAUGUUUGUGUGGAAUGGCUGGUUCGAAUCCGGCUCGAGUCA
Mycena capillaripes is the source of this 91-nucleotide non-coding RNA. The record is from the annotation of a GenBank genome assembly. Lineage: Eukaryota; Fungi; Basidiomycota; Agaricomycetes; Agaricales; Mycenaceae.